UAAUUUAAAGUCUAGCCUGCCCAAUGAUUAUUAAUUGAAUGGCCGCGGUAUUUUGACCGUGCUAAGGUAGCAUAAUAAUUAGUUUUUUAAUUGAGAACUGGUAUGAAUGGUUGGACAAAGAAAAUUCUGUCUCAAGUUUAAUUUAAUUAGAAUUUUAUUUUUAAGUAAAAAAGCUUAAAUGAUUUUAAAAGACGAGAAGACCCUAUAGAGUUUUAUAUUAUUUAUUAUAAUUAAUUUAAGGAAUUAUAUAUUUUUUAUAUUAAAUAGUAUUUUGUUGGGGUGACAAAAAAAUUUAAUUAACUUUUUUUAUAUUUUAUCAUUAAUUUAUGAUUAAGUGAUCCAUUUUUUAUGAUUAUAAGAUUAAAUUACCUUAGGGAUAACAGC
This 384-nucleotide ribosomal RNA is filed under the name Phoberus aculeatus. Its description in RNAcentral is "partial 16S ribosomal RNA". Lineage: Eukaryota; Metazoa; Arthropoda; Insecta; Coleoptera; Trogidae. The record is from RNAcentral.